Molecule: ribosomal RNA, 209 nt
Filed under: uncultured bacterium
Lineage: Bacteria
Description: partial 16S ribosomal RNA
Rfam family: Bacterial small subunit ribosomal RNA
Source: RNAcentral
UGCGUAGGCGGGUCUUUAAGUCAGAGGUGAAAUCCUGGAGCUCAACUCCAGAACUGCCUUUGAUACUGAGGAUCUUGAGUUCGGGAGAGGUGAGUGGAACUGCGAGUGUAGAGGUGAAAUUCGUAGAUAUUCGCAAGAACACCAGUGGCGAAGGCGGCUCACUGGCCCGAUACUGACGCUGAGGACACGAAAGGCGUGGGAAGCAAACA